This 985-nucleotide long non-coding RNA is filed under the name Homo sapiens (human). RNAcentral's name for it is "HSALNT0365630". The record is from RNAcentral. Lineage: Eukaryota; Metazoa; Chordata; Mammalia; Primates; Hominidae.
GACAAACACAGGUAGUGCACAUAAGUUCCAUGCUGAGAUGAGCAUAGAGGCCUGUGGGAACUCACAGCUGCACUGGGGGAGAGCCUGCUGAAGCUGCUUGAAUCUCAACACUGUCAUACCCGCCAUCUCAUUAUCUACAGCCACAUCUAAAACCCACAUGAAAUACCAAGUCACACGCGGCUCUGGGAAAGACAUUUUACAGAGACCAUCUUAUGAGUUUUUAAUCUGCCUCCUGAGAACUUACAAUCUAAGAAAUAGAAAACUGAUUCCAGUAAGCAUGCCCAGAAUAUGCUAGCAGCAAGAUUAAAACAUGAAACUAUGAAUGUUAAGAAGAACAAUUUUUAAAAAAUCAUUGGACAUCAAACCAAAACAAAUCAUGGUGCCUCCACACAAUGGGAUAUUCCUCAGCAGUAGAAAGGAAUGGACUACUGAUCACGCAGUAAUGAUGACGAAUGUCAAUGUAAUUAUGCCAAGUGAAAGAAGCCAGCCAAAAGGUGGAGAAGAUGAGUUAAGGACGUUUCAAGCAGAGUUGCCAGCAUGAGUAAGGUCAUGGAAAUUGUGACGGUGACCAUGACCUUUGGAAGUAAUGCAAAGUCCCGUGUGCCUGGAACAUAGAUAGAGAGGGAUGCAGGAGAGAGAGGUGACAGGAAGUGCGACAAUGAGCAUUUGUUGGGAAGAGGCUAUAAAGUUCUUUAACUGCUGUGCUGCUUGAAGAUCUCUCUCCUACCACUUCUGGUGACCUGCUUUGCCUUUCCAAGUUGCCUCAAUUUCCUCUUAACUAUUCCUGGCUUCUCAAGAACUCUCUAUAGCAGAUGAUGAUCCUCCUGUCUCCUGCUCAGCUGCCAAGGAGUUAGGCUCCAGAUUCAGUAUCUGACUCAAUUAAUUUUCAGAAGAGAAAGGCAAAGUGAAUUAAAGUAACAAACCCUACCUGCUGUCACUUAAACGAGGAGAUGUAUUACUUUUUACUACAAUGAUAUUUGCUACA